AUGAGUUAAAAAAACAUACCGACAAAUUUAUUCCGUAAAGAUAGAUAACUCCUAUAAAAUUUCAUCGAAUCGCUUCGAUCCAAAUUAGCCAAAAUUUUCUGAGGAUGUAACGAACAAUUUGUAAAAAGAAUUUUGUCGCUAUCUUUUUUUGUUACGAAGGAGAUGCACACACAUGAUAAACAGUGAAUAGGGAGAUAACUCUUACAGAGAAAAUUGUUCGUCUUAGCAGGGUGAAAUUUAAAAGCGCAUAAACUAUACGAUACAAUAUGAGAAAUAUCUAAGCGACAUAUUGCGAAACAAACAUUUAUCGCAAGAACAAAAGUUGGCGGAAAAAAAAAAAAAUAAUAAUAAUAAUAAUAAUAAGAACAAAUAAAUAAGUCUUUCCAAUAAAAGCAUAAUAAUCAGAACAAAUACAAUAAGUCUUUCCACAGAAAAGUGGAAAGACUUAAUAAUAAUAAAUAUAAAGCAAUUGUUUUGAAAAACAAUUGUUAGGCAGUCUUUCCCCUCUGAUGAAUGGAUAAUUGAUUUUUUUUAUUGAUUGAUUUGGAAAAAAAGGGGGGGGGGGUAUUUGUUUUUUUGUUUGUUUGUUUGCUUUGGUAUGGGGUCUAUAUUAUUAUGUUACCGGAGAAGUUUCAUGUUUAGUUUGGAAAGUUUUUCUUUUAUUUUAGAUACAGCGCGCGCGCAAGAUUGAGGAGACAUCACGUGACGCGGGUUUAUAUUAAGAAAAACUUAGUCUUUUUAUUUCUUUUUAGGUCGGGACCUUGAACAGACAACAUGUAUAGAGAUGGAAUGUACACAAUGUAAUUUCUUUUGUCAUUGUAGGAAAUUGACAUUUUGAUCACAGUUCACCAGCAGUGCAUGUUUUGGAUUUAAUUGAUCCGGUGUAACUUUAAAACACAUUUAAUGAUUAUUUUUUGAUAAUGUCCAUUUUUCAGCACCUGUUUGUAACACAGAUUAGUAUUUCAAUCUCGGAGCGGACAUUUUAUUGUAGGUUUUUACUGAGAUUGACGGACCUAGCAAGCGAUUUUUACUGCAUUGCCAUUUCUUUUUUCUAGGAAAAGUCUUGAGAGAUAUCUGCAAAAAGUUUUUUUAUGAACCUUCAGUACAUGUAUGCCCUGCUGACUGCAAAUUUUCAGGUCGAUUGGACUUGUAGUUUCAGAGAAUAUGUGGAUUUUUUUUUCAGAAGAGACGUAAGAACAAUAAUAAAAUAAAAAUUUUCUUGAAUAAUUGAGAGUUUGUUCCUUCAAUAAACUGUCAUAAAUAAACAGUCAUACAUAUUGAUUGAUUGAUUAGUUGGUUGAUUGAUUGGUUGGUUGGUUGGUUUGUUGGUUGGUUGAUUAAACACACGUUUGAUAGGGUCACUUAGAACAAGGGGAAAAAGACCUCAAGAGACCUUGCAUCCCGUAUUAAACGCAUGACACGGAAACAUACAUUAAGUGAUUGAUUGGUUGGUUGGUUGGUUGGUUGGUUAAACACGUUGGUUAAACAUGUUGGUUUAACACGUUGGUUAAACACGUUGGCUGGUUAAACACGUUUGAUAGGCUCAAUUUAAACAAGCGAAAAAAAAACCAUCUUGGAUCCCGUAUUUAACACAUGAAACGGAAACAUGCAUUGAUUUAUUUAUUGGUUGGUUGGUUGGUUGGUUGGUUGGUUAAACACGUUGGUUAAACAUGUUGGUUAAACAUGUCGGUUAAACACGUAGUUUAAACACGUUGGCUGGUUAAACACGUUUGAUAGACUCAAUUUUAACAAGCGAAAAAAAAAAACCAUCUCGGAUCCCGUAUUUAACACAUGAAACGGAAACAUGCAUUGAUUGAUUGGUUGGUUGGUUGGUUGGUUGGUUGGUUGGUUAAACACGUUGGUUAAACACGUUGGUUAAACACAAUUGGAUUAGGCUCAAAAUUGGAUCCCGUAUUUAACACAUGAAACGGAAACAUGCAUUGAUUGG
Molecule: long non-coding RNA, 1948 nt
Filed under: Mytilus galloprovincialis (Mediterranean mussel)
Lineage: Eukaryota; Metazoa; Mollusca; Bivalvia; Mytilida; Mytilidae
Source: RNAcentral